AUGGUGAAGGAGACCGCCUACUACGAAACCCUGGGGGUCAGCGUCGACGCCUCCCCCUCCGACAUCAAGAAGGCCUACUACGUCCAGGCCAGGCUGGUGCACCCGGACAAGAAUCCCGGCAACCCCGACGCGGCGCGCAAAUUCCAGGAUCUCGGAGAGGCCUACCAAGUCCUAAGCGAUCCAGCGAAGAAGGAGGCUUAUGAUAAGCAUGGAAAGGAGGGUCUUUCCCAGGAUAACAUGGUUGAUCCUGCUGCUGUAUUUGGGAUGCUUUUUGGAAGCGACUAUUUUGAAGAUUAUGUUGGUCAGCUUGCUCUGGCAUCCAUCGCUUCAGUGGAGGUUGAUGAAGGUUUAAGCAGUCAAGAUGCCAGAGCAAAGGUUCAAGAUAAGAUAAAAGAGUUGCAAACUGAAAGAGAGAAAAAGCUUACUCAGAGCCUAAAGGAUCGACUUCAGCCAUAUGUGGAUGGUAGAAAGGAUGAUUUUGUGCACUGGGCGAAUGCAGAAGCCAAGCGUUUAUCAGAAGCAGCUUUUGGUGAGGCUAUGCUUCACACUGUUGGAUAUAUUUAUGUAAGGCAAGCGGCAAGAGAACUUGGAAAGAGUAAAUUGUAUAUGGGUGUACCAUUCAUAGCUGAGUGGGUAAGAGACAAGGGUCAUACCAUUAAAUCACAAGUUCAUGCUGCUUCAGGUGCUAUUGCUCUGAUGCAGCUACAAGAAGGAAUGAAAAAGGUGGAGGAGGGUGCCGACAAGGAAGAGCAGCUUAUGAAGAGUUUUGAGGAGAAAAAAGAAGCCAUGCUUAAUUCUCUAUGGAAAAUUAAUGUGGUCGAUAUCGAGUCAACUCUUUCCCGAGUAUGCCAAGCAGUUCUUAAAGAUAGCACUGUCUCAAAAGAUGUUCUGAAGUUGCGAGGAAAAGCGUUGAAAAAGCUUGGAACGAUAUUCCAACAUGCUGAACAGUUAAUGAGGAAGACAUAG
RNAcentral lists this ribosomal RNA (966 nucleotides) under Triticum aestivum (bread wheat). RNAcentral describes it as "partial small subunit ribosomal RNA". Lineage: Eukaryota; Viridiplantae; Streptophyta; Magnoliopsida; Poales; Poaceae. The record is from RNAcentral.